GACGAACGCUGGCGGCGUGCUUAACACAUGCAAGUCGAGCGGUAAGGCCCUUUCGGGGGUACGACGAGCGGCGAACGGGUGAGUAACACGUGGGUGACCUGCCCUUACGCUCUGGGAGUAAGACCUCGGGAAACGUACGGGGUCUAAUACCGGAUAUGACUCCAUGACGCAUGUUGUGGGGUGGAAAGCCUUGUGCGGCUAGGGAU
This 206-nucleotide ribosomal RNA is filed under the name uncultured bacterium. Its description in RNAcentral is "partial 16S ribosomal RNA". It matches the Rfam family "Bacterial small subunit ribosomal RNA", at positions 28 to 226 of the family's 1533-position model. The record is from RNAcentral.